UACGUAGGGGGCUAGCGUUGUCCGGAAUCAUUGGGCGUAAAGCGCGUGUAGGCGGUCCGGUAAGUCCGCUGUGAAAGUCGGGGGCUCAACCCUCGGAUGCCGGUGGAUACUGUCGGGCUUGAGUACGGAAGAGGCGAGUGGAAUUCCUGGUGUAGCGGUGAAAUGCGCAGAUAUCAGGAGGAACACCAAUUGCGAGGGCAGCUCGCUGGGACGUUACUGACGCUGAGACGCGAAAGCGUGGGGAGCAAACAGG
Molecule: ribosomal RNA, 253 nt
Filed under: uncultured bacterium
Lineage: Bacteria
Description: partial 16S ribosomal RNA
Rfam family: Bacterial small subunit ribosomal RNA
Source: RNAcentral